Salvator merianae (Argentine black and white tegu) is the source of this 4395-nucleotide long non-coding RNA. The record is from Ensembl. Lineage: Eukaryota; Metazoa; Chordata; Lepidosauria; Squamata; Teiidae.
GUGGCAGCCCGGUGCUGCUCGCUCGCUCGCUCCGCCACGCAGAGGGGCGCAAAGUCCCCGCCUCUGCUUCGCCCCGCGCGAGCAGGCAAGGAGCGCUGGAUCUGGGACCCCCGCUACUCCCGCCCCUCAUCCCCUGCGCUUGGAAGGGCGUGUGCGUGCAUGCUUGGGCUUUAUGGCCCAGGUGAGAAGGCCAGACGCGGCUAAGUCCACGGAGGUCAGUUCGAGAAGGUGGCCUGGGCAGGUCCCGUGCGUCCCAUCCCUUGCGAAACUGAUCCGUUGCGAAACUGAUCGACCUGUUCGCAACCCUCGAUAGGACUUUGCAAACUUCUCCUUUCCUCAAUGGCCGAAUGCCUGUUGAUUUCAUUCCUAGACAGCAGGGGGUACGCUUCUUAUUCUCCCUCCCCAGACACCCCAGUUGAUGUACAGCAGAGAGAUGGGAACCAGAACCAGGCAGCUCUUGACUGUGUGGGACAUGCUCAGUCAUGGAAGAGAAGAUGGAAGGUUUUGAUGCGUUCAUGUCAAAGGAAGCUGUCCUCUUCAAGUGAUAAUCAAGAUGGAAGAUCUGGGACAAGUGUCCAAACCUUCACUCCCAGUGUUUGCUGCGAGGAGCGCUUAGUGGCAAGGACAGCCAAAACUACAAGUCUUGUCACCAGCACUUUCUGGCUUGGAAUACUAGGGCACAGUAAUUCAGAGAAAGGGGUCAAGCAGUCCAGUCUGGAGACCCCAGGGCAGAGCAGGGCGUGUGCAAUGCAUCUAUAUAGGAAAGUCCUCUGCCCUGUCAUGUCUUCCUCAAUAUAAAGUGGUGGAUGAGACUGUCAAGAGGACAGUGCACACUCCUAAGAACUUGAUGCAACCCACACGCUCCAUAGUGUGAUAACCAAACUUGAGGACCGCCUGGCAGAUGAGAUUUCAUGAAUCCAGACUGUGACUUUCAAAAUGCAAAGUGCCUUACAGCCCCUGUUCCUGUGCUAUAGGGGUAAGACAUAUGUCUCCAUUUCUCUAAAAAAGACUGUGGAACAUCAUGAGUUUCUNAAAACUCUUCUCUUCAGCCUACAGGAGCAGUGGUGGCCAGAGACUCGAGCUGAAUUAAAAUGCUGUGUAGCUUCAUGCCCUAAUUGCUGCCAAGCAGAAACCUGGCCAAGUACUUUGACUUCACCCUUUGGUGAUGCGGGAGCAUGAUGGCACACUGCCUGGAUUUCUUCACAGUUCUACCACCUUGUGGGUGUNCGCCACUAUUUUUGCACUCAGAGAUUUUUUUUAAUUUUUUUUUUUUUUUACUAAAUUGGCUAGGUCCAUUCCACCCAAAUCAGCUUUUUAAAGACAAUGUCUUCAAUUAUACAGGAUGCUUACCAAAAUUGUCUUGGACAGAGUCACCUAGCUGACUACAAAGUUAUGGAAACUUUAUGUUCACUGUUCAUUGUGUCACUGGCUUUUUCUGUGGUCCGUCAUCCACAGAAGAUCAAACAGAGGCUUUGUUCACACAUAAUAAGAAACAAAAAAGUAUCUCAAAGGCAUCUUAAAGGUGGUAUGUAACAUGCCAGUGUGCCCAUCCCAUCUCUAAUGCACAUUAAAGGCCCAGAAAUGCGGUUUCAAAGCACCAUUAGAGGUGGCUUGGAGAACAGCUGGGAGCACUAGUGCCACUUGCUACUAUCUCUAAGAGGAUUUUGAGCCACUUCUUCUUCUUCUUCUUUUUUUUACUAUGUGUGAAGGCAGUCAGAGUACACAAAAAACAGUUUGAAAAAAUAUCUCCAGUGGGUCUCCACUUUGCAACAUGACUGAGUAUCCCUGGUUCAUUUCACCAAAUUUGCUUACAGCCAUUCAAAGUAUGCUUUGACAACCAUAGAGCCUGUUCACAUUUGAUCCUUAGUGAGCAUGCAAAACACUAGGGAAAUAUGUUUGCACUCCACUGUGUCUGCAGCAUCCAGGAGCAUCUGCAGUCACUCUUGGACAUUACUAGCUGUGAACAGCUAAUAUGCUGUCCACAGCUUGACCAGGAGCAGCUAGAUUGCUCCUGGUCAGCAAUGUUUGCAUCCUCUUCCUUAUGCAAAUGCUGCAAAUGGGUGGCAUGACUGUGACUNCGCAGUCAUGCACUGUGUCCUGCUUGCCGUGGCAAUGGCUGGAUGUUGCUGCGUUCUCUGUCAUGGUAACUGGGCCUGCAUUUGAACUGCAAGUGCUGGUGUCCCAGUUUGUGGCUAUUCUAGCCCUCGCAGUGUGAAUAGCUGCCAUGCUGCUUGGACUAUCCCAGCCUAGUAUGNGAUUGUUAAUACCAUACUAGGCUGAUCAGUGUGAAAUGGCCCUUAACACCUGCAUUAUAUGGCUCAUACUCCUCAUUUCUUCCUAUAGUCCACACCACCUUCAGUUCCAGAAGCUGAAGACUUUUGGCCCUUUCUGUACUGGGCCUUAUUUCAGAUUAUAUCCCGCAAUAGGGACUUGCUGUCCACGUGCUGGUGCAGACUACAGGAAGCCUUGCUCAGGGCCUGCCAUAAUCUGCACUAGCNUAUGCACUGCAGGCCCCUAUUCUGGGAUAUAAUCCAGAAUAAGUCUCAGUGCAGAAAGAACCUUAGAGUGCAAGUAUAUAGGCCUUUUCACACUUGCUUGCUAGUGAGUGUGAAGAUGCUCACUAGGCAAGUACCUCUGCCAUUUGCAGAGACCAACACGAUUGGGAGCACUCUUCAGCUGCAUCCGAUAACUCCUAGCUGUGGAGCACUAAAUUGUGCUUCACAACUUGACUGGGAGCAGCUAGACUGCUCCUGGUAAAGGGCAUUUGCACCCUCUUCUAGGUGCAAAUGCAAACCGCAUGGUGGGAUGCACCCAUGUGAUCCACAGCUUUGCCAGUCACCAUGGCAAUGGCUGGACACUUCCCAACUGCUGUCAUGGAAAGGAACAGAAGCAGGACAUCGACAUUUGCAUCGCAAAUGCUGGGAUCCUGCUGGUAUUCUGUUCAAGGACUUUGCAGUGCAGAUGGUGUCCAUGCUGUGGGGUAGUUAUCCUGUUCUAACGUGGAAAGUGUGAAAACACCUCAUGAGUCCUUUUCUGGUGAUCAUGCAAAUUGAUCCCAUGACUUUUUAUCUCAAAUUAACUCAUGAAACUGCAUCUUCUUGUUUGGUNUACUGCCUUCCCCACUUUACUCAACUUGUCCUCUCCUCCCUUUUAUAAAGGUGGUCGAUGAUGCCCAUUUUGAAGCUGGAUUCUUGCCAGCACCAUGACCAAGUCCAGUAUAUAGUUUACUGGAAAGGCUACUCUGCUACUUAAGACUCAUGNGUGAACACAAGGUGUCCAACCUCCUAAUCUACUUUCAUGCUGCUUUUCCAAACAAGUUGAACCCUUUCUCAGUCUUGACAGCUGUGGCAGAUUGGGAAUGGCAGGGCUGACAGAGUUAGGGACAUCUCGGAUCAAGUCUUCCUCAGUCCUUGCAGAAACAACAAUCUGUUUUUGAGCUUUAUCAGUGGUAUUCAGAGGAACCUCAACUAAAAGAGUUGCUAGGCAGUGAGGGGGAAGUAAAGAGAAAACAGGCACUGACUCUUCAUAUGGCCAACCAGACAUGGAUUCAUUACAGGGGNAUUUGUGAAGCCCCACUGGCAUUGAAUUGAAAGAAAGGGGGUGGAAGUAGCAAAAUCCCAGAAGUACUUUUCAAUUCAAUGCCAGAGGAGCCUUGCCAGUCAUCCAUGGUAAGUGCUUCCAUGCUGGAGAGGUAAAAAUAGUGCAUGAUCUCCUGAACUAUUUUUACAAUGUAUUAAGUGGCUGAUAGAUUGCCAGAGCCCCAACAUGGUCUCACUGCAAUGCUGACAACCUGCCAACAUUUUAAUUGUGUCUAGAGGCAGCCCAAGACAGUGGCUGGAGACAGCUCCCUGUGCACCAAGCAAGGGGGCUUUGACAUAUGAAUCUGCUUUUCCUCAUAUUUCUUGUUUAGACCCCCAAGGGGAGUAGGAGGAGAGCUGGCAACUUGCUUUUCAGUGUACUCUGACUGUUUAUAAUGUUGUUCCACUUUGUUACCUGUGAGUUUCUUCAGCAUCUUGUUCUGCAACCUUUCAUUACUCUUUCAGUAAAGCACAGUUCAAUUCUUGACAUGUGUGUGUUUCCAAAAAGGCUCAUAACAAAGUAGGAACUGGAAAAAAAGGCUUUCUGGAAGAGGGUCUUUCAUUUGUGCAUUCAGUUUCACAAAGCUGGCCAGGCAGAGACUGGAAGAAAUCCAUGGCUGCAGAGGCCAAGGGGAUUGUGUUCAUAACUGUCUAAAGUUACUAUUAUAUUCUGUACAUCUAACAUCUAAGUUGGAAAAAGAAUCCAUUAAGUUUUGGAACUGUAAGUUUUUUUUUUUUAACCUGUAAUCAUAUGUUUUAUGCCUGUAUGCCCUAUAAUUUGAUGAGAAUAACAUCAAUAAACAAGAUAAUGACAAUU